RNAcentral lists this ribosomal RNA (768 nucleotides) under uncultured bacterium. RNAcentral describes it as "bacterial SSU rRNA". It matches the Rfam family "Bacterial small subunit ribosomal RNA", at positions 51 to 828 of the family's 1533-position model. The record is from RNAcentral.
ACACAUGCAAGUCGAGCGGAGACAGUGAGUAGCUUGCUAUGAGCUGUUUUAGCGGCGGACGGGUGAGUAACGCGUGAGCAACCUUUCCCAGACAGGGGAAUAACACACCGAAAGGUGUACUAAUACCGCAUAAGACCACGGGAUCACAUGGUUCUGGGGUAAAAGAUUUAUCGGUUUGGGGUGGGCUCGCGUCCGAUUAGGUAGUUGGUGAGGUAACGGCCCACCAAGCCGACGAUCGGUAGCCGACCUGAGAGGGUGAUCGGCCACAUUGGGACUGAGACACGGCCCAAACUCCUACGGGAGGCAGCAGUGGGGAAUAUUGGGCAAUGGGGGGAACCCUGACCCAACAACGCCGCGUGGAGGAAGAAGGUUUUCGGAUCGUAAACUCCUGUCCUUGGAGACGAGUAGAAGACGGUAUCCAAGGAGGAAGCCCCGGCUAACUACGUGCCAGCAGCCGCGGUAAUACGUAGGGGGCAAGCGUUGUCCGGAAUAAUUGGGCGUAAAGGGCGCGUAGGCGGCUCGGUAAGUCUGGAGUGAAAGUCCUGCUUUUAAGGUGGGAAUUGCUUUGGAUACUGUCGGGCUUGAGUGCAGGAGAGGUUAGUGGAAUUCCCAGUGUAGCGGUGAAAUGCGUAGAGAUUGGGAGGAACACCAGUGGCGAAGGCGACUAACUGGACUGUAACUGACGCUGAGGCGCGAAAGUGUGGGGAGCAAACAGGAUUAGAUACCCUGGUAGUCCACACUAUAAACGAUGAAUGCUAGGUGUAGGGG